GAACUUUUGAAUUUCAUUUCCUGUUUGCCCAGCGUGGAGCUGUGAUCAGCAUGGGUGGCGAUGCGGUCCCAAAUCGAAAAAGAACUCCAACAUGGACCGUACAGGAGAUACUGGAUCUGAUCGCUGUAUGGGGAGACAAAUCUGUUCUAGUCAAGCUCCGUUACA
Chelonoidis abingdonii (Abingdon island giant tortoise) is the source of this 165-nucleotide non-coding RNA. NCBI's taxonomy places the organism in Eukaryota, Metazoa, Chordata, Testudines, Testudinidae. The record is from RefSeq and is a predicted model, not a curated record.